GACGAACGCUGGCGGCGUGCUUAACACAUGCAAGUCGAGCGGUAAGGCCCUUUCGGGGGUACACGAGCGGCGAACGGGUGAGUAACACGUGGGUGACCUGCCCUUAGCUCUGGGAUAAGCCUGGGAAACUGGGUCUAAUACCGGAUAUGACUCCAUGACGCAUGUUGUGGGGUGGGAAGCCUUGUGCGGCUAGGGAUGGGCCCGCGGCCUAUCAGCUUGUUGGUGGGGUGAUGGCCUACCAAGGCGACGACGGGUAGCCGGCCUGAGAGGGCGACCGGCCACACUGGGACUGAGACACGGCCCAGACUCCUACGGGAGGCAGCAGUGGGGAAUCUUGCGCAAUGGGCGAAAGCCUGACGCAGCGACGCCGCGUGA
This 375-nucleotide ribosomal RNA is filed under the name uncultured bacterium. RNAcentral's name for it is "bacterial SSU rRNA". It matches the Rfam family "Bacterial small subunit ribosomal RNA", at positions 28 to 404 of the family's 1533-position model. The record is from RNAcentral.